Long non-coding RNA from Branchiostoma floridae (Florida lancelet), 1081 nucleotides. RefSeq lists it as uncharacterized. The transcript is spliced from 4 exons. The record is from RefSeq and is a predicted model, not a curated record. NCBI's taxonomy places the organism in Eukaryota, Metazoa, Chordata, Leptocardii, Amphioxiformes, Branchiostomatidae.
UUAGAUACUAGUACGCGGCAGAAAAAGCCGUGGAGAGAAGGAGAGUAUUCCCACAAGGGACGGAGCUUUGUUGAUUUUGAGGCGAAGGCUUCAGAUUUUGGCCCAGUUUUCCAUCUUCAGGGCAGCCCAUACGGACAGCAUGCGUCUGACGGCUGUCUUGCUGGUGACAGCAUUGCUGUCGCUGGCCUUGGUGACGGAGGCGUUCGACUUCUACGGAGAAUGCCCGGACCACUGUGUGCAGAGCCAGUGCCACUAUGAGUACGGCUGUUUCCAGUGCAUGCAGGGAUUCAUCGCGCACUUCGUGGAUGGCAGCUGUGCCCGUUCAAAGUACGGUACGUGCGUGGUCACCUGUCCUGAUGGCUACUUACCUGAUCCCACCAAGGAGUUCUGCCAGGCGUGUGACGAAGGGGAGUGUGACUGAGUGUGAUCCAGCUUGGCGGAGAUACCGACGAUCCAAACGGCCCUGACCUACGGAGAAACCAACACGUUUUGUUCUUCAGUGUUCAGUUUUGUUUCCAUUUCUUUCCUUCCACAACCUAAGAAAAUCGAUCACCGUAUAUACACCUUAGUUACUAAUCUCAACUGUUUGAAAUAAGUGGUAGUCAUAUAAGAUACCAACUGAUACAAAUAUGAAUUGAACAACUCUAUCAGAAUAAGAAUGACCUACAAUUGUAAUAUCAUUUAGUAUCGAGCUUUGAAUGAGAAAUAUGGCAUGUAUCAAUAAUUUCUACGAAUCAACUUGGAUUCAGGAGUGCUGAGAAGAAGGCAGGGAUUUGUUACGCUAGACCGACAAAGGCAAGACAAAACAACAGAAGAGAAGUUCGUAUGUACUUUGUACAGUGUUUAUGUUUUGUUCGAUGCAGAGGGUGGUUUGUAAAGAAGAACGGUAAAUUACAUUGAUUCUUCUGGAUCAAAGUUAAACUGUGAUUUCCAACACAAAUUAUGGUUCAACUUGUUCCGGAAUGACUUCUGCCAACGCAGAUGAACUUUCUCUGAGGUUUGACUCUAAAUUUUCUUUUAGCUUGAUGUCUUAUUUCUUUCAACUUCAGUCUUUGUGGAUAAAACUAUCGAGCAUGAUAUA